Molecule: ribosomal RNA, 139 nt
Filed under: uncultured bacterium
Lineage: Bacteria
Description: partial 16S ribosomal RNA
Rfam family: Bacterial small subunit ribosomal RNA
Source: RNAcentral
UGGGGAAUAUUGGGCAAUGGGCGCAAGCCUGACCCNGCAACGCCGCGUGAAGGAAGAAGGCUUUCGGGUUGUAAACUUCUUUUCUCAGGGACGAACAGAUGACGGUACCUGAGGAAUAAGCCACGGCUAACUACGUGCC